Papaver somniferum (opium poppy) is the source of this 512-nucleotide long non-coding RNA. RefSeq lists it as uncharacterized. NCBI's taxonomy places the organism in Eukaryota, Viridiplantae, Streptophyta, Magnoliopsida, Ranunculales, Papaveraceae. The transcript is spliced from 4 exons. The record is from RefSeq and is a predicted model, not a curated record.
CAUCUCUCAUUCUCUUUUGUCAUGUCUGAAAUUCGAAGAUUUCAGAGAUAUCAAAUCCCAAAUCAAACCAACCUUUUCAUUUUUCGCCCUAGGGCUUGAGGUUUACAUAUAAAAGUUGUUUUAGGGUUCAGUCUCUCUUAUGUAGUCUCCAAAAACUCUCAAGAGCAGUAACACAAAGAAGAAGAAAAGCCAUAAACUUCUAUUUUGUUUGGUUUUUGAUUUGAGAGACCGUGAAGAGGAUUGACGUUUUCCUCGUCAAAGAGUUUGGAAAUGGAAAUCAAAUGGGUUAGUUACUGCAAAGACUAUUUCAGUUCAAGCAGGUAUUGUUCUGGCUACUAUCAAGACCAACAAACAGAAGUACCCUUCAGCUUUGGUGUACAAAACUUUCAUGAAGCCAGGAAACAUACCUUGUCUUCUCGUCUCACUGAAAUUCAGGUGAAACUUUCUGAGAGAGUAUUAGAGCUUCUUGUGUUGCCUGGCGAUGAUGUUUUACUGCUGCUCCUUGAUAUUGG